AUCACAGACUAUCUAGUAACAAGCCCCCCCCCCCCGCCUCCUGGACGAGUGGCGCACUGUACUGACGCUAGCACACUCCCUCCGCCGCCCCCUCACCAUGCAGGCGAGGUAGGGGGAACAUGUUUUAUUAAAGAGGACUUUGAAGAGCUCCGCCAGUAACUUCCCACUGCUCGCUUCCCCUUUCCCUGAUUUAAGAUAGCGCCUCUCUAAUUUGAAGCCUGAAGUUUGGGGUUUUGCGGAGGCGCCAUUAACUAUUAACACGUGGGGGCCACUGCAAAGUGUGCGAGGGCUGUUGUUGGACCGGCGAUGACGACACCGCAGCCCUCCUCUAAGGAAUUAUCUUGCAGGGACACAAACAACACGCUUGGUCAACGUCGGAUUUCUUGUUUUAUGCUUCUCCAGGUCAGCGUCUCGCCUGCCGUCUGCCAGUGGAUUUAGAGCUUCCGGACGGGCAGGACACAGCCGGUGAGGCUGGGAGAGACCACCUCAUCCACACGCAGCAGCAGCACUGGGGCGCCCCGAGGUCGCGUCCUCUCUCCGCUGCUCUUCUCUCUCUACACGAACGACUGCACCGCAACGCACCCUGCUGUCAAACUCCUGAAGUUUGCAGAUGACACCACUGUCAUCGGCCUCAUCGAGGACGGUGACGAGUCUGCAUAUCGACAGGAAGCGGCGCUGCGGUGCGGCCGACGCAGCCUGGAGCUGAACACGCUCAAGACUGUAGAGAUGAUCGUGGACUUCAGGAGGCAUCCUUCGCCACAGCUGCCCUUGUGUCAACCGUCGAGACCUUCAAGUUCCUGGGAAUUACAGUCUCUCGGGACAACUCUGUCCUCAAAAAGGCUCAGCAGAGGAUGAACUUCCUGCGGCCUCUUGCAAUCAACUUCUUAAACAGUAAACUUACAAUUCCAUUGCAACAUGCUGCCAAUUUCUUUUGUCUGAGUUUGUUGUCACAUUUCUGUCGGGCCAAUUAUAUACUACUGGAGCACUCACUGUAGUAGUCUCGCCAGGCUGCACUAUUUGCAACAACUAUCUGUUGUUGACCAAUGCUGGACACUCAUGUCAGAGUAGCCCAGAUGAUCGCACUACUCGUCACUUUCAACCGCAUCCACUCCUUGAACUCUCGGCGCCCUUUGCACAAUGCUCAUUGCGCCGGACUAUUGCGAGAUGAGUCAUUUGAACUGCUCUAAGUGCUAGAAGACU
This is a long non-coding RNA of Phyllopteryx taeniolatus (common seadragon), 1200 nucleotides long. RefSeq lists it as uncharacterized. The record is from RefSeq and is a predicted model, not a curated record. NCBI's taxonomy places the organism in Eukaryota, Metazoa, Chordata, Actinopteri, Syngnathiformes, Syngnathidae. The transcript has 2 exons.